This 448-nucleotide ribosomal RNA is filed under the name uncultured bacterium. Its description in RNAcentral is "bacterial SSU rRNA". It matches the Rfam family "Bacterial small subunit ribosomal RNA", at positions 355 to 825 of the family's 1533-position model. The record is from RNAcentral.
UGGGGAAUCUUGGACAAUGGGCGCAAGCCUGAUCCAGCCAUGCCGCGUGAGGGAUGAAGGCCUAUGGGUUGUAAACCUCUUUUCUCAAGGAGGAAGAUAUGACGUUACUUGAGGAAUAAGCAUCGGCUAACCCUGUGCCAGCAGCCGCGGUAAUACAGGGGAUGCAAGUGUUAUCCGGAAUCAUUGGGCGUAAAGCGUCUGCAGGUUGACUUUUAAGUCUUUUGUUAAAGCUCUGGGCUUAACCUAGAAUAUGCAAAGGAACUAUUUGUCUUGAGUAUGGUAGAGGUAAAGGGAAUUUCCAGUGGAGCGGUGAAAUGCUUAGAUAUUGGAAAGAACACCAACAGCGAAGGCACUUUACUGGGCCAGUACUGACACUGAGAGACGAAAGCUAGGGGAGCAAACGGGAUUAGAUACCCUGGUAGUCCCUGAGCGGGCUGGCAAGGCGCAU